AUACGUAGGGGGCAAGCGUUAUCCGGAUUUACUGGGUGUAAAGGGAGCGUAGACGGCAAAGCAAGUCUGAAGUGAAAGCCCCGGGCUCAACCCGGGAAUUGCUUUGGAAACUGUUUAGCUGGAGUGCAGGAGAGGUAAGCCGAAUUGCUAGUGUAGCGGUGAAAUGCGUAGAUAUUAGGAGGAACACCGGCGGCGAAGGCGGCUUACUGGACUGUAACUGACGUUGAGGCUCGAAAGCGUGGGGAGCAAACAGGAUUGGAUACCCUGGUAGUCCACGCCGUAAACGAUGAUUACUAGGUGUUGGUUGUCAUAGACAAUCGGUGCCGCAGCAAACGCAAUAAGUAAUCCACCUGGGGAGUACGUUCGCAAGAAUGAAACUUAAAGGAAUUGACGGGG
This 396-nucleotide ribosomal RNA is filed under the name uncultured bacterium. RNAcentral's name for it is "partial 16S ribosomal RNA". It matches the Rfam family "Bacterial small subunit ribosomal RNA", at positions 523 to 918 of the family's 1533-position model. The record is from RNAcentral.